CCUACGGGUGGCUGCAGUGAGGAAUAUUGGUCAAUGGUCGCGAGCCUGAACCAGCCAAGUCGCGUGAAGGAUGACUGCCCAACGGGUUGUAAACUUCUUUUGUAAGGGAAUAAAGUGAGGCACGUGUGCCUGUUUGUGUGUACUUUAUGAAUAAGGAUCGGCUAACUCCGUGCCAGCAGCCGCGGUAAUACGGAGGAUCCGAGCGUUAUCCGGAUUUAUUGGGUUUAAAGGGAGCGUAGGUGGGUUGUUAAGUCAGCGGUAAAAAUUCGGGGCUCAACCCCGUCCGGCCGUUGAAACUGGGUGCCUUGAGUUGGCGAGAAGAAGGCGGAAUGCGUGGUGUAGCGGUGAAAUGCAUAGAUAUCACGCAGAACCCCGAUUGCGAAGGCAGCAUUCCGGCGCCCCACUGACGCUGAGGCACGAAAGCGUGGGGAUCGAACAGGAUUAGAUACCCUGGUAGUC
This 459-nucleotide ribosomal RNA is filed under the name uncultured bacterium. RNAcentral describes it as "partial 16S ribosomal RNA". It matches the Rfam family "Bacterial small subunit ribosomal RNA", at positions 338 to 795 of the family's 1533-position model. The record is from RNAcentral.